RNAcentral lists this long non-coding RNA (5630 nucleotides) under Homo sapiens (human). RNAcentral's name for it is "HSALNT0271363". The record is from RNAcentral. Lineage: Eukaryota; Metazoa; Chordata; Mammalia; Primates; Hominidae.
CAAUGGUGUUGAUACAUGGAAACUGCAACAUGGACUUUCACUUACCACAGUCAAUAUGGUGGCAGCCAUUCUGAGUCUCUGUCCUUCCAGCAGCAAAGAGCAAAACUGAAUCUCUAAUAUGGCACUAAUCUUGGAAGAUCAGUGAGCCAUCUGACAUUAGGUUGAUUACAUAGGCCCUCUUCCGUCAAAGAAGAGGCAAUUCUUUGUUUACACUGAAACAGACAUUCAUUUUACAGCAAUGUGGCAAUGGGCUUAUGCUUAUCCAACCAAUUAACUUCACCAUGUUACCCCAUUGAAUAUUGAACUAAAUUUUUGAUAAUUGAGUUAUGGCACCAGUUUGGUGGCAAUAGUUCAUGAGGCUAAGGUAAUGUUUUUCAGGGUGUCUUUGUUUUUUCUAGAAUGCUUUUACUGGGAUGUCUUUGUUUUUUCUCUCAAAGCCAGGUGUAAUGGUUCCAGGGAUCAAGAACUAAAAAUUGAGUAAUUUUUUUUUUUACUGCUAUGUCUAGUGUUCCUCUAGUGGAAACAUUUGUUUUCUAUCUGCGUAACUGUGGGUUAUAUUAGUCUUGUUCCCAAGGAAGAAAUACUUCUAAUAGGGGACAUAGCAAUGGUUUCAUUAAACAGGGAGUUAACAUUGCCAAAUUGGCCACCUGCCUUCCUCAUGCCAGUGAAUCAAGAGGUUUACUUUAUGGGUGAGUGAUUAAUUAUGACUGUCAAGGGAAACUUGGGUCACUAUUACAUAAUAGAGGCAAGGAGGACUAAGUCUGAAAUGCUGGAGAUUUCCUGGAGAUCCUAUUACCAUUUUUAUGUCCUGUGAUUAAAUUCAACAGAAUACUACAACUGAAUCAGGCAAGUUGGCUACUAAUCCAAUCUUCUCAGAAAUGAAAGUUUAAAAUAUAUAAUGCAUUGUUGUUAACUAUAGUCACCUUACUUUGCUAUUAAACGUUAGAAUUUAUUUCUUCUCUCUAACUUUAUGUUUGAACCCAAUACCUGUAUAUUUGUUCCCCCCACCACUCCUCCUUUCCAGCUCUGGUAUCUGUUCUAUCAUUCUACUCUCUACCUACAUGAGAUUAGCUUUUUUAGGUCUCACAUAUGCAUGAGAACAUAUUUGUCUUUCUGUAUCUGACUUAUUUCACUUAACAUAGUGACCUCCAAUUUCAUCACUGUUCCUGCAAAUGAUACAAUUUCAUUCUUUUUAAUGGCUAAAUACUAUGCCAUUGUGAAUAUAUAGCACAUUUAAAACAAUCCAUUCAUCCACUGAUGGACACUUAGGUUGAUUCCAUAUCUGUUAUUGUAAAUAGUAUUGCAAUAAACAUGGGGGUGCAGGUAUCCCUUUGAUGAACUGGUUUUAUUUUAUUUGAAUAAUAUCCAGUAGUGGAAUUGCCAGAUCAUGUGGUAGUUGCAUUUUUACUUUUUUUUUUUUUUGAGAAAUCUCCGUACUGUUUGCAAGAGUGGCUGUACAAAUUUACAUUCCCAUGAAAAGUGCGUGAGUCCCAUUUUCUCCAUAACCUUGCGAGCAUGUUUUUUUUUUGUCUUUUUAAUAAUGACCAUUCUUUUUUUGAGAUGUUGCUCUGCCACCCAGGCUGGAGAGCACUGCCUCCUGGGUUCAAGUGAUUCUCCCGCCUCAGCCUCCUGAGUAGCUGGGAUUUCAGGCGCUCGCCACCUCACCUGGCUAAUUUUUUAUUUUUAUUUUUUUUUAUUUUUAAUUUUUUUAGUAAAGAUGGGGUUUCACCAUGUUGGUCAGGCUUGUCUUGAACUCCUGACCUCAAGUGAUCCACACGCUUUGGCCUUCCAAAGUGCUGGGAUUACAGGAAUGAGCCACUGCUCCCAGCCAAUAAUGACCAUUUUAACUGGGGUAAGAUGAUAUCUCAUUUUGGUUUUGAUUUGCAUUUCUUUGAUAAUUUGUGAUGUUGAGCAAUUUUCAUAACUAUUGGCCAUUUGUGUGUCUUCUUUUGUGAAAUGUCCUUUGCCCACCUUUAAAUGGGAUUGUUUGUUUUCUACUAUUGAGUUGUUUGAGUUCCUUGUAUAUUCUGGAUUAUCAGUUCCUUGUUAGACAAACAGUUUGCAAAUAUUUUCUCUGAUUCUGUGUGUUAUCUCUUCAUUUUGUUGAUUGUUUUGUUUACUGUGCAGAAGCUUUUUAUUUCAAUAUGGUCUUAUUUGGAUGCUUCUUUUUACAUGUGCUUUUAAGUCCUUGGCCAUAAAAUCUUUGCCUAGAACAAUGCCCUGAAGUACUUUCCCUACAUUUUUUUCUUGUAGGUUUAGAGCUUUCAGUUUUAUAUUUAAGUCUUUAAUCCAUUUUGAGUUUAUUUACAUAUACACUGAGAAAUAGGAGUCUAGUUUCAUUCUUCUGUAUAUGGAUCCAGUUUUCCCUGCAUGAUAUAUUUAACAGGGUGUCCUUUCUUCGAUUCAUGUUCUUGGUACUUUUGUUGAAGACUAGUUGGCUGUAAAUACGUGGAUUUAUUUCUAGGUUCUCUAUUCCAUUUCAUUGUUCUAUGUUCUGUUUUCAUACCAAUACCAGGUUCUUCAGUUACUAUAUCCUUGUAAUAUAUUUUGAAGUCGGGUAGUGUGGUGCUUCCAGUUUUGUUCUUUUUGCUCAGGACGGCUUUGGCCAUUUCAGAUCUUUCUUAGUCCCACACAAUCUUUAGGAUGGUUUUAUUUAUUUCUCUGAAAAAUGACAAUGGUAUUUUGAUAGAGAUUGCUUUGAAUCUGUAUAUUUACUUGGGUAGUAUGGUCAUUUUAACAAUAUUAGUUUUUCCAAUCCAUAAACAUAGGAAGGCCUUCCAUCUGUGUGUCUUCUUCAAUUUCUUUCAUCGGUGUUUUGUAGCUUUCUUUGUAGUGAUCUUUUACCUCCUUGGUUAAAUUUAUUCUUAGGUUUUCCUUUUUUGUAGCUAUUACAAAUAGAAUUGCCUUCUUGAUUUUUUUCAACUAGUUUAUCGUUUAUGUGUAGAAAUGCUACUUAUUUUGUAUAUUGAUUUUGAAUCCUGCAAGUUUACUCAAUGUAUUCAUUAGAUCUAAGAAUUUUUUGGUGGAGUCCUCAGAUUUUUCUAAUUUAUAAGAUUAUGUCAUCUGCAUAAAACAACUUUACUUCCUUCUUUGUGGUUUGGAGGUUUUUUAUUUCUUUCUCUUGUCUGAUUUCUCCAGCUAGAACUUCUAGUGCUACAUUAAAAAAGUGUGGUGAAAGUGGACAUUGUCUUGCUCCAGUUCUUACAGGAAAGGCUUUCCGUUCCUCCUCAUUCAGUAUGAUAUUAGCCGUGGGUUUUCAAAUAUGGCCUUUAUUAUGUUGAAAUAUGUUCCUUCUAUGCCUAAUUUGCUGAGAGUUUUCAUCACAAAAGGAUGCUGAAAUUCUUCAAAUGCUGUUUCUGCAACUAAUGAGGAAAGCAGAGGACGGAAGUGCCGAUAAAAAGAUGGAAUAAUGGCUGGACUCCAGAGCUAUUUUCCUGGGCCACAGUUUGGUGAACACUGUAUUAAAUCAUAGACCCACCGAAUAUUAAAGGAGGAAGAAACUUGAAGAUUGCCUAAUCCAACCCCAUCAUUUUUACAGAUGAGGGAACUAAGCUCAGGGGAUUAAGUGGCUCAUCUACAGUCACAAGCAAGUUAGUAACUGAAUCUGAACCAAAACCCGAAUAUUCUGUUUAAUGGUUUAAUUUAUUUCCCAAAAUCAUGCUCUCCCUCUAAAUAGUAUUUUUUAAUUUUUUGUAAAGCCACUAUACUCACACGGUUAAAAGUUUAUAAAAGGUAGACAGCAAAAGGUUUACUUACUUUAGAUCAAAAAUUAUAAAAUGCAGCCAAUCAUCUUGUGAUUUCAGGCAGAAUGGAAGGUUGAACAAGAUGGUUCUAGAAUGUCAGAAGCAUGUUUUGGUUGCUUUUGGUUAUGUAUGAGAAGGUAUUACAAAAAAAAAAAAGUGAGCUCAGAAAAGUGACGGUCAUUUCAAUGUUAAGAGGGAAGAAGCAUUAUGUGUUUCCACUUGGUCUCUUGAGCCUCUAUCAUCAGCAUAAAAUCACGCCUGGUUAGCUAGUUUCUAUCUCCAAAAGAGUUACAGCCACAUAAAGAAGACUUGGAGCCACAGACUUGCCUCCUGAGGCAGAGCUGCCUCAGCCAAACCGCAGAUUCUUGAAAAUUAGUUAUGGUUUUAACUCCUGAUUUUGUGCAUUAUUCUAACAAUUAGGUAAAAUAUAAAUGUGUAACAUUGCAAAUAUAUAUUCUCUGUAUUUGUAUUUUAUUGGUCAACUGUAAAUGACCUUCUUUGACUCCAAGAUGAGACAAUCAGAAAAUUAUUCUUCUUUCAGUCUUUUCCUACCUUCUCUUUCCUACUUUUUCUCUUAUUAUUUCUUCAUUGUCAGAGAAUAUACCUUUGCCUUCUCUCACUUAACCAUAAUUGUCACAUUUAUUUUACAGUCAAACAUAUUCAAAGUUUUCUGCCAGUUCUUUUGUCAUGUUUUUAUCAAUCUUUCCUAAUGAGCUGAAGUCUCUUCCUCUAGUGUUUGUCUUAAGAUGGUCUCUUGGGAAUAAAAUUCCCAGUUUCUUGCAUAUUUAAAACAAUGAUCUGUAACUUUAUACUUGAGUAUCGCUCGUCUGCAUACAAAAUCCUGGGUUCAUGCUUCCUAUCCUUAAGUAUCUUUUAGAUGUUGUUCCACUGACUUCUGGUGUUGACAAUUUCCAUAGAGAAAUCUGAGGCUAGACUUAUUUGCUUCCCCCCUACAACUGUCUUAAUAUUUUGCCUGUCUAUCUUUAAUGUCCAACAUUUUUGAUAGACUAUGUCUUGGCCUGCUCUAGGUCAGUUUUCUAUACCAGAAGGUGAUCCUUUUUCUUAUGAAAAGUCAAGUCUGUUCUUCUUUCAUGAAUUUUUUUUUUGGUGGCAAAAUACACAUAACAUAAAGUUUACCACUUUAAUCUUUUUUCAGUAUACAGUUCAGUGACAUUAAGUACCUUCACAUUGUUGUGCAAUCAUCAGUAGCAUCUGUCUGAAGAAUUUGUCAUCUUCCCAAACUGAAACUCCAUACCCACUAAACAAUAACUCUUCAUUUCCUCUUCCCCACAGCGCCUGGCAACCACCAUCCACCAUUUUACUUUCUAUGAAUUUGAUUCUUUUAUUCCACAUAAGUGUAAUCGUACCAUAUUUGUUCAUUUGUGAUUGUCCAUGAAUUUUUUAAAAAUUAUACCUUUCUAUAUAGUUUUCCAUUAUUUGGUUUUCUUAUUUCGCUUCCUUCAACAGGGACUCCAAUUAUGCCUAUACUACCUAAUUUAAAUAGCUAACAUUUUAAGUUAUUUUUGUCUUUUUCUUUCAUAUUUUAGUUUUCUAUUCUCCAUCUCACUAUAUUUUUUAUAGCAACAAUUUUUCUUUGUGGUCUUCUUUCCCUAUAUUUUUGCAAAAAUUCAUAUUAUCUACUUUUUUUUUCUGAGAUAAGACAGAUCAAAACUCAGCUCACAUCUUCCUCGACAUCUCUUGCCUGAGUUCUCUAUUUGUGUUUCCAGUCUAACGCCAUGAAGGCUGUUGUUUAAUGAGGUUGUUUUUCUCAAUAUAUGCUGAGAUAUUUGUCCCUAACUAUCACAGGCACCAUGACAAUGUUUUGACUCUGUGGUGCGCAUUGUGCUUCAUUUUGUGUACUAUCAGUGUAUGGAUGCAGUUCCAGUC